GUAUAAGAGACAGCAGUAGCCGCGGUAAUACGUAGGGUGCAAGCGUUAAUCGGAAUUACUGGGCGUAAAGCGUGCGCAGGCGGUUAUAUAAGACAGAUGUGAAAUCCCCGGGCUCAACCUGGGAACUGCAUUUGUGACUGUAUAGCUAGAGUACGGCAGAGGGGGAUGGAAUUCCGCGUGUAGCAGUGAAAUGCGUAGAUAUGCGGAGGAACACCGAUGGCGAAGGCAAUCCCCUGGGCCUGUACUGACGCUCAUGCACGAAAGCGUGGGGAGCAAACAGGAUUAGAUACCCCAGUAGUCCCUGUCUCUUAUAC
Molecule: ribosomal RNA, 314 nt
Filed under: uncultured bacterium
Lineage: Bacteria
Description: partial 16S ribosomal RNA
Rfam family: Bacterial small subunit ribosomal RNA
Source: RNAcentral